AGGUCAAAGGUCAAGGUCACAGUGACCGAAAUAGUAAAAUGGUUUCCGGAUGAUAACUCAAGAACGCUUAGGCCUAGGAUCAUGAAACUUGAUAGGUAGAUUGAUCAUGACUCGCAGAUGACCCCUAUUGAUUUUGAGGUCACUAGGUCAAAGGUCAAGGUCACAGUGACCCAAAAUAGUAAAAUGGUUUCCGGAUGAUAACUCAAGAAUGCUUAGGCCUUGGAUCAUGAAACUUGAUAGGUAGAUUGAUCAGGACUCGCAGAUGACCCCUAUUGAUUUUGAGGUCACUAGGUCAAAGGUCAAGGUCACAGUGACCCGAAAUAGUAAAAUGGUUUCCGGAUGAUAACUCAAGAACGCUUAGGCCUAGGAUCAUGAAACUUGAUAGGUAGAUUGAUCAUGACUCGCAGAUGACCCCUAUUGAUUUUCAGGUCACUAGGUCAAAGGUCAAGGUUACGAUGACCCGAAAUAGUAAAAUGGUUUCCGGAUGAUAACUGAAGAACGCUUAUUCCUAGGAUCAUGAAACUUGAUAGGUAGAAUGAUCAUGACUCGCAGAUGACCCCUAUUGAUUUUCAGGUCACUAGGUCAAAGGUCAAGGUCACGGUGACCCGAAAUAGUAAAAUGGUGUCCGGAUAUUAACUCAAGAAUGCUUAUGGCUAGGAUCAUGAAACUUCAUAGGUACAUUGAUCAUGACUGGCAGAUGACCCCUAUUGAUUUUCAGGUCACUAGGUCAAAGGUCAAGGUCACAGUGACAAAAAACAUAUUCACACAAUGGCUCUCACUACAACGGAGAGCCCAUAUGGGGGGUAUGCAUGUUUUACAAACAGC
This is a long non-coding RNA of Dreissena polymorpha, 825 nucleotides long. RefSeq lists it as uncharacterized. The transcript is spliced from 3 exons. Lineage: Eukaryota; Metazoa; Mollusca; Bivalvia; Myida; Dreissenidae. The record is from RefSeq and is a predicted model, not a curated record.